UUAAUUAAUAAACUAUGAGAGUUUAAUAGUUUCAUAGUUUAGGGUUUGUUCGGUUUGUUUUUGGCUACUUUUUUCUGAUGUGUGGAGACAAACGUAAUUUUCACCUAAACGUAUUCCUUCUUUUAUUCUCUGUUUCUGGUUCUUCUCAGGUUCUGAUAUGCCUAAAUGAACUGAUUAGUAUCCAAGCUCAAAUAAUGAUGGAUUUUACAUCUUCAGAAGUGAUGUGCGAGGUUGCCAAUUUAACAAAGGAAUUUACUUUUAGUCAUUCUUGUUCGUUUUAGUUAACCUCACUUGUAACAGGAAUUCAUUCAUAAUAGACCACGUAUGGAAACAUCCCAAUAUAUGUAUGUAUUUAGUUAACAAGAAUGUGCUCAGACAAAGACUCUUACUGUGAAGUUCUGGUUGCAUUGGUAAGGUUGCUAUCCAAUUUGAGCGCGAUUGCGACCAUCGAUAUCAAGGUUUUGAAGCAAAGAUCGUUUAAGGGAGGGUCUAAGUUAGGGCACUACAUUUCAUACAGCCUCAUUUAUGAAAGCUAAUGCAUUGAAGUGAAAGUGAGCGCCCCCCAUCUUUCGGACUGUGUGCACUUCCGCCCGAUCCUCUGGACACGGAACCACAGCUCGCUUUUCCCUCCACACGACCUUUCAGAUCCCUCCUCACAUCCAUCUAUCUCUCUAUCCUUUAUAGCGACCCAACGGCACUUUUAAGAGCCACUCGCCUGUCUGUCUAUCCAUACAUCCGUUUAUAAUCUGAUUAUAGAUAAUCAAUUUGUCUAUCUACCUAUCUGUUUGUCUAUCUAUAUAUCUAUCUGUCUAUCUCUCUAUCUACUUACCUACCUACCUCUCUGUCGUUCUACCUUUUUGGCUUUCUUUCUGGCUGUUCAUCUGUCUGUCUGACUGACUGGAUACCAUGCCAGGUUCAACCCAAAAGACCUGCCAGUCAUGCAAGGCACAAAUAAAUGUUGGCUGUAAACACUGCAAGCUGUGUGGGGCUUCUCAGCCCCAGAAAGUGAAAUUGCAGCAGGCCAAAGACAAAACAUCAAAGGAAUGGGCCCAAAAAAUGUUGAAUGGAAGAAACACCUCAAAGCUGAUAAAUUCCACCAAUCUUCUACUCCACAAGUUUCACAUGUUGGGUUAUUACCCCCUUCUUCUUCUUGGGAGGAGGAAGACGAGGCAGGCCACAAAUUUUAGG
This is a long non-coding RNA of Pygocentrus nattereri (red-bellied piranha), 1188 nucleotides long. RefSeq lists it as uncharacterized. Lineage: Eukaryota; Metazoa; Chordata; Actinopteri; Characiformes; Serrasalmidae. The record is from RefSeq and is a predicted model, not a curated record. The transcript has 3 exons.